This 269-nucleotide ribosomal RNA is filed under the name uncultured bacterium. RNAcentral's name for it is "partial 16S ribosomal RNA". It matches the Rfam family "Bacterial small subunit ribosomal RNA", at positions 85 to 353 of the family's 1533-position model. The record is from RNAcentral.
AAGAUGGCGACCGGCGCACGGUGAGUAACACGUAUCCAACCUGCCGAUAACUCUGGAAUAGCCUUUCGAAAGAAAGAUUAAUACCGGAUAGUAUACGAAUAUCGCAUGAUAUUUUUAUUUAAAGAAUUUCGGUUAUCGAUGGGGAUGCGUUCCAUUAGUUUGUUGGCGGGGUAACGGCCCACCAAGACUACGAUGGAUAGGGGUUCUGAGAGGAAGGUCCCCCACAUUGGAACUGAGACACGGUCCAAACUCCUACGGGAGGCAGCAUG